GGGGGCGUAGCUCAGAUGGUAGAGCGUCGCUUAGCAUGCGAGAGGUACGGGGAUCGAUACCCCGCCUCCA
Molecule: transfer RNA, 70 nt
Filed under: Trichonephila clavata
Lineage: Eukaryota; Metazoa; Arthropoda; Arachnida; Araneae; Nephilidae
Description: tRNA-Ala
Rfam family: tRNA
About the family: Transfer RNA (tRNA) molecules are approximately 80 nucleotides in length. Their secondary structure includes four short double-helical elements and three loops (D, anti-codon, and T loops).
Source: RNAcentral